ACCUACAGAAGAAGCACCGGACUAACUCCGUGCCAGCAGCCGCGGUAAUACGGGAGGGGUGCGAGACGUUAAGUACGGAAUUUACGUGGGACGUAAAGCGCAUGCAGGCGGCCUGUUAAGUCAGAUGUAGAAACGGCCCGGGGACUUUAACCGUACGGUAAGUUGCUAUUUAGUAAACGUGGCGAGGCUAGAGUCUUGUAGAGGGGGGUAGGAAUUUCAGGUGUAGCGGUGAAAUGCGUAGAGAUCUGAAGGAAUACCAGUGGCGAAGGCGGCCCCCUGGACAAAGACUGACGCUCAGAUGCGAAAGCGUGGGGAGCAAACAGGAUUAGAUACCCUGGUAG
This 341-nucleotide ribosomal RNA is filed under the name uncultured bacterium. RNAcentral describes it as "bacterial SSU rRNA". It matches the Rfam family "Bacterial small subunit ribosomal RNA", at positions 477 to 793 of the family's 1533-position model. The record is from RNAcentral.